UUUUAUCUGUGCAAUUCAGUUUAAUUUGAUGAUUAGAAUCUUACUUUUAUUAUUAUUUUUCUUUU
Molecule: transfer RNA, 65 nt
Filed under: Pseudothemis zonata
Lineage: Eukaryota; Metazoa; Arthropoda; Insecta; Odonata; Libellulidae
Description: tRNA-Leu
Source: RNAcentral